CAGCAGCCGCGGUAAAACGUAGGGUGCAGGCGUUAAUCGGAAUUACUGGGCGUAAAGCGUGCGCAGGCGGUUAUAUAAGUCAGAUGUGAAAUCCCCGGGCUCAACCUGGGAACUGCAUUUGAGACUGUAUGGCUAGAGUGUGUCAGAGGGGGGUAGAAUUCCACGUGUAGCAGUGAAAUGCGUAGAUAUGUGGAGGAAUACCGAUGGCGAAGGCAGCCCCCUGGGAUAACACUGACGCUCAUGCACGAAAGCGUGGGGAGCAAACAGGAUUAGAGACCCGCGUAGUCCCUGUCUCUUAUAC
This 301-nucleotide ribosomal RNA is filed under the name uncultured bacterium. Its description in RNAcentral is "partial 16S ribosomal RNA". It matches the Rfam family "Bacterial small subunit ribosomal RNA", at positions 509 to 807 of the family's 1533-position model. The record is from RNAcentral.